GACGAACGCUGGCGGCGUGCUUAACACAUGCAAGUCGAACGGUGAAGGGAUCAGCUUGCUGGUUCUGGAUGAGUGGCGAACGGGUGAGUAACACGUGAGUAACCUGCCCCCUUCUUCUGGAUAACCGCAUGAAAGUGUGGCUAAUACGGGAUAUUCUGGGUCUGUCGCAUGAUGGGUCUGGGAAAGAUAUUGUUUCGGUGGGGGAUGGGCUCGCGGCCUAUCAGCUUGUUGGUGGGGUGAUGGCCUACCAAGGCGGUGACGGGUAGCCGGCCUGAGAGGGUGGACGGUCACACUGGGACUGAGACACGGCCCAGACUCCUACGGGAGGCAGCAGUGGGGAAUAUUGCACAAGGGGCGCAAGCCUGAUGCAGCGACGCCGCGUGAGGGAUGGAGGCCUUCGGGUUGUAAACCUCUUUCGCCAGUGAAGCAGGCCUGCUCCUUGUGGGUGGGUUGACGGUAGCUGGAUAAGAAGCGCCGGCUAACUACGUG
This 489-nucleotide ribosomal RNA is filed under the name uncultured bacterium. Its description in RNAcentral is "partial 16S ribosomal RNA". It matches the Rfam family "Bacterial small subunit ribosomal RNA", at positions 28 to 507 of the family's 1533-position model. The record is from RNAcentral.